Molecule: ribosomal RNA, 433 nt
Filed under: uncultured bacterium
Lineage: Bacteria
Description: partial 16S ribosomal RNA
Rfam family: Bacterial small subunit ribosomal RNA
Source: RNAcentral
AACGAACGCUGGCGGCAUGCCUAACACAUGCAAGUCGAACGAGACCUUCGGGUCUAGUGGCGCACGGGUGCGUAACGCGUGGGAACCUGCCCUUAGGUUCGGAAUAACUCCCCGAAAGGGGUGCUAAUACCGGAUAAUGUCUUCGGACCAAAGAUUUAUCGCCUUUGGAUGGGCCCGCGUUGGAUUAGCUAGUUGGUAGGGUAUAAGCCUACCAAGGCGACGAUCCAUAGCUGGUCUGAGAGGAUGAUCAGCCACACUGGGACUGAGACACGGCCCAGACUCCUACGGGAAGCAGCAGUGGGGAAUAUUGGACAAUGGGCGAAAGCCUGAUCCAGCAAUGCCGCGUGAGUGAUGAAGGCCUUAGGGUUGUAAAGCUCUUUUACCCGGGAUGAUAAUGACAGUACCGGGAGAAUAAGCUCCGGCUAACUCCGUG